GGAACUCUCCAAGGCGAAAAUGAACGCCAAAAGCUUUCUGAUUGCCUUCAUGGUCUGCGCCAUCUUAGUGGCAGGUGCCGCUGCGUGCGGUGGUGAAGGCCGCUCGGAGUCCGGCCGUUGCGGUGGAAGCGAGGGGCGCAGCGAUCAUGGAACAGUGGAAGCGCGCCAGGAAAGCGAAACUUCUGGCCGCUGUGGUGGAAGUUCUGGGCGUUGCGAUGGCUAAUUACCCGCCAAAAAACAUCUUCAGCACUAAACUCUAACUAUGUGGUGGUAGGUUUGCAGGUAAUGCAGGAGCUCGACACAGCUUGAAAUGAAUACACGCAAAAUAAAGAUGCUUAUUUUCA
Molecule: long non-coding RNA, 344 nt
Filed under: Rhipicephalus microplus (southern cattle tick)
Lineage: Eukaryota; Metazoa; Arthropoda; Arachnida; Ixodida; Ixodidae
Description: uncharacterized LOC119185223
Source: RNAcentral